AACGCAAAUUGCGCUCGCGGCUUCGGCCAAGAGCAUGUCUGCCUCAGCGUCGGGUUAAUACUCGCUCCCAACAUUCCUUGUGAGUGUUGGCGAAGCGGACCUGACCUUCCCAGCAAUUUAAGUAUUGCUGGGUCGGUUGAAGUGCAGAGGUUGUCGCAUGGACCCGCUCAAGGGCCUCAACUGGGUAGGCUAUUCGUAGCUAUAUGCUUUAGUUGAUGGCUUGGGACUUUGCAAUGACGGCCCAAUCCAGGAACUGAGUUGCAAUACACUCAGCUAUAUAACCCAUUUUCUCGACCUGAGCUCAGGCAAGAUUACCCGCUGAACUUAA
This 328-nucleotide unclassified non-coding RNA is filed under the name uncultured soil eukaryote. RNAcentral describes it as "sequence contains 5.8S rRNA gene, ITS2, 28S rRNA gene". The record is from RNAcentral.